GACGAACGCUGGCGGCGUGCUUAACACAUGCAAGUCGAACGGAAAGGCCCUGCUUUUGUGGGGUGCUCGAGUGGCGAACGGGUGAGUAACACGUGAGUAACCUGCCCUUGACUUUGGGAUAACUUCAGGAAACUGGGGCUAAUACCGGAUAGGAGCUCCUGCUGCAUGGUGGGGGUUGGAAAGUUUCGGCGGUUGGGGAUGGACUCGCGGCUUAUCAGCUUGUUGGUGGGGUAGGGGCUUACCAAGGCUUUGACGGGUAGCCGGCCUGAGAGUGUGACCGGCCACAUUGGGCCUGAGAUACGGCCCGGACUCCUACGGGAGGAAGCGGUGGGGAAUAUUGCGCAAUGGGCGGAAGCCGGAUGCAGCAACGCCGCGUGCGGGAUGACGGCCUUCGGGUUGUAAACCGCUUUCGCCUGUGACGAAGCGUGAGUGACGGUAAUGGGUAAAGAAGCACCGGCUACCUACGU
This 467-nucleotide ribosomal RNA is filed under the name uncultured bacterium. Its description in RNAcentral is "partial 16S ribosomal RNA". It matches the Rfam family "Bacterial small subunit ribosomal RNA", at positions 28 to 506 of the family's 1533-position model. The record is from RNAcentral.